AUGUUGUAUGAAAGGAAAGAAGGUUAGCACUUCCCAUGACAAUGAUGGAAGAGGCUUCGGCCUGCAACACAGGUAUGGUUAAGGCAUUGCCACCUACUUUGUGGCAUCUAACCACUGUUUUUC
Erinaceus europaeus (western European hedgehog) is the source of this 123-nucleotide small nuclear RNA. Lineage: Eukaryota; Metazoa; Chordata; Mammalia; Eulipotyphla; Erinaceidae. The record is from Ensembl.